GAAGGGAGAAAGAAAUGAGAAUCCAGGUGAUUCUACUCCUAAUCAACUCUGGAGUCAUCAUAUUCACAAAACUUGAAAAACAUUUUCUUAAAAUUUUCAUGUUGAGUCCGUGUGUGUGUGUACAUGUUCUUGUAGUGGGGGGUGCACUUGUACAUGAGGGCAAGAAUGUGUGUAGACCCGAGGAUGACACUAAUGCUGAGAAUGAAAAUCAUAACCUUAAUUGUUGAAGCAGGACAUCUCAGUCAUACCUAGAGUCCCAUCGGUUUGGCUUUUCUUGCUAACCAGUUUCCUCUGGGAUUACAGGCAGGUGGAGGUUCGUAUCUGGGUAUUUACUUGCAUUUUGGGAGAUACAAAUUCCCAAGCAAGAACUGAAAUGCUGAGCUAUCUCCUGACCAGGUAAAGACAUUUUAAUCCCUGGUCUUCCAUGUAUGUUCUACAACUUUCCAACUCAAUUUGUAGAGCUAGUCAGUAAGGGACUGCAGGAAUAAAAAAAUAUGAGAAUGUUUACUUCUAGUCUAAUUUUCUGUCUUCCUAA
RNAcentral lists this long non-coding RNA (535 nucleotides) under Rattus norvegicus (Norway rat). RNAcentral's name for it is "long non-coding RNA NONRATT000798". The record is from RNAcentral. Lineage: Eukaryota; Metazoa; Chordata; Mammalia; Rodentia; Muridae.